This 317-nucleotide long non-coding RNA is filed under the name Elaeis guineensis (African oil palm). RNAcentral describes it as "long non-coding RNA (EGUI_LNC048711)". Lineage: Eukaryota; Viridiplantae; Streptophyta; Magnoliopsida; Arecales; Arecaceae. The record is from RNAcentral.
GAGCAAGAUCUUUUUUGAUAAGUUUUAAAAUCAAAUCCAUACUUGCAUGUCCUAAUCUACGAUGCUAAAACCAACUAGCCUCAUUAACUUUGACAUCUAUUGCAACUAAAUAUUGACCAUUCUUUAGGAAAAGAUCACAUAGAUAAACCAUGUAGAUAUUACUUUGUCUAUGUCUAAUAGCACAACAUCAUUAUCGUUGGGACUAGAAACAAUGCAUAUUAAAAAUUCCAAUAUAACUUUAAAAUCUUUAUCACGUAAUUAACUAAUACUUAGUAAAUUAUAUUUUAAACCAUCUAUAAGUAUAAUAUUCUCAAUAU